UGGAUCCAGACUUUGAUUCUGGCUCAGGAUGAACGCUAGCUACAGGCUUAACACAUGCAAGUCGAGGGGAAACGACAUCGAAAGCUUGCUUUUGAUGGGCGUCGACCGGCGCACGGGUGAGUAACGCGUAUCCAACCUGCCCACCACUUGGGGAUAACCUUGCGAAAGUAAGACUAAUACCCAAUGAUAUCUCUAGAAGACAUCUGAAAGAGAUUAAAGAUUUAUCGGUGAUGGAUGGGGAUGCGUCUGAUUAGCUUGUUGGCGGGGUAACGGCCCACCAAGGCAACGAUCAGUAGGGGUUCUGAGAGGAAGGUCCCCCACAUUGGAACUGAGACACGGUCCAAACUCCUACGGGAGGCAGCAGUGAGGAAUAUUGGUCAAUGGACGAGAGUCUGAACCAGCCAAGUAGCGUGCAGGAUGACGGCCCUAUGGGUUGUAAACUGCUUUUAUAAGGGAAUAAAGUGAGUCUCGUGAGACUUUUUGCAUGUACCUUAUGAAUAAGGACCGGCUAAUUCCGUGCCAGCAGCCGCGGUAAUACGGAAGGUCCGGGCGUUAUCCGGAUUUAUUGGGUUUAAAGGGAGCGUAGGCCGGAGAUUAAGCGUGUUGUGAAAUGUAGACGCUCAACGUCUGCACUGCAGCGCGAACUGGUUUCCUUGAGUACGCACAAAGUGGGCGGAAUUCGUGGUGUAGCGGUGAAAUGCUUAGAUAUCACGAAGAACUCCGAUUGCGAAGGCAGCUCACUGGAGCGCAACUGACGCUGAAGCUCGAAAGUGCGGGUAUCGAACAGGAUUAGAUACCCUGGUAGUCCGCACGGUAAACGAUGGAUGCCCGCUGUUGGUCUGAAUAGGUCAGCGGCCAAGCGAAAGCAUUAAGCAUCCCACCUGGGGAGUACGCCGGCAACGGUGCAACUCAAAGGAAUUGACGGA
RNAcentral lists this ribosomal RNA (926 nucleotides) under uncultured Bacteroidota bacterium. RNAcentral's name for it is "bacterial SSU rRNA". It matches the Rfam family "Bacterial small subunit ribosomal RNA", at positions 1 to 917 of the family's 1533-position model. The record is from RNAcentral. Lineage: Bacteria; Pseudomonadati; Bacteroidota.